UACGUAGGUGGCAAGCGUUGUCCGGAAUUAUUGGGCGUAAAGCGCGCGCAGGCGGUCUUUUAAGUCUGAUGUGAAAGCCCACGGCUCAACCGUGGAGGUUCAUUGGAAACUGGAGGACUUGAGUGCAGAAGAGGAAAGUGGAAUUCCACGUGUAGCGGUGAAAUGCGUAGAGAUGUGGAGGAACACCAGUGGCGAAGGCGACUUUCUGGUCUGUAACUGACGCUGAGGCGCGAAAGCGUGGGGAGCAAACAGG
Molecule: ribosomal RNA, 253 nt
Filed under: uncultured bacterium
Lineage: Bacteria
Description: partial 16S ribosomal RNA
Rfam family: Bacterial small subunit ribosomal RNA
Source: RNAcentral